This 508-nucleotide ribosomal RNA is filed under the name uncultured bacterium. Its description in RNAcentral is "partial 16S ribosomal RNA". It matches the Rfam family "Bacterial small subunit ribosomal RNA", at positions 28 to 507 of the family's 1533-position model. The record is from RNAcentral.
GACGAACGCUGGCGGCGUGCCUAAUACAUGCAAGUCGAACGCUUCUUUCCUCCCGAGUGCUUGCACUCAAUUGGAAAGAGGAGUGGCGGACGGGUGAGUAACACGUGGGUAACCUACCCAUCAGAGGGGGAUAACACUUGGAAACAGGUGCUAAUACCGCAUAACAGUUUAUGCCGCAUGGCAUAAGAGUGAAAGGCGCUUUCGGGUGUCGCUGAUGGAUGGACCCGCGGUGCAUUAGCUAGUUGGUGAGGUAACGGCUCACCAAGGCCACGAUGCAUAGCCGAACUGAGAGGGUGAUCGGCCACACUGGGACUGAGACGCGGCCCAGACUCCUACGGGAGGCAGCAGAAGGGAAUCUUCGGCAAUGGACGAAAGUCUGACCGAGCAACGCCGCGUGAGUGAAGAAGGUGUUCGGAUCGUAAAACUCUGUUGUUAGAGAAGAACAAGGACGUUAGUAACUGAACGUCCCCUGACGGUAUCUAACCAGAAAGACACGGCUAACUACGUG